UACAGAGGCCAAGAGCGUUGUUCGGAUUUACUGGGCGUAAAGGGCGCGUAGGCGGCGAGGCGUGUCGGAUGUGAAAUCUCCGGGCUCAACCCGGAAAGUGCGUCCGAAACUACCUUGCUGGAGUCCGGGAGAGGGAAUCGGAAUACAGGGUGUAGCGGUGAAAUGCGUUGAUAUCCUGUAGAACACCGGAGGCGAAGGCGGAUUCCUUGAACGGUACUGACGCUGAGGCGCGAAAGUCGGGGGAGCAAAC
RNAcentral lists this ribosomal RNA (250 nucleotides) under uncultured prokaryote. RNAcentral's name for it is "partial 16S ribosomal RNA". It matches the Rfam family "Bacterial small subunit ribosomal RNA", at positions 524 to 773 of the family's 1533-position model. The record is from RNAcentral.